Long non-coding RNA from Helianthus annuus (common sunflower), 246 nucleotides. RefSeq lists it as uncharacterized. Lineage: Eukaryota; Viridiplantae; Streptophyta; Magnoliopsida; Asterales; Asteraceae. The transcript has 4 exons. The record is from RefSeq and is a predicted model, not a curated record.
UGUAUGCAGCUAUUGAGGGUCUGCUUCAUUUGAAUUUAAGCAGAUGUAACAUGACUGGUGAUGGGUGCGAUAAAUUUUCAAGGCUAAAGGGUUUAAAAGCUCUCAAUUUAGGAUUCAAUGAUAUUUCAGAUGAUGUUUUGGUACAUCUGAAAGGUUUGAUAAAUUUGGAGAGCUUAAAUCUGGAUUCAUGUAUAAUUCGUGAUAAUGGACUGGUUAACUUAGCAGGCCUUCAUCGUUUAAAAUGUU